RNAcentral lists this ribosomal RNA (231 nucleotides) under uncultured bacterium. RNAcentral describes it as "partial 16S ribosomal RNA". It matches the Rfam family "Bacterial small subunit ribosomal RNA", at positions 99 to 334 of the family's 1533-position model. The record is from RNAcentral.
CGGACGGGUGAGUAAUGUCUGGGAAACUGCCCGAUGGAGGGGGAUAACUACUGGAAACGGUAGCUAAUACCGCAUAACGUCGCAGACCAAAGAGGGGGACCUUCGGGCCUCUUGCCAUCGGAUGUGCCCAGAUGGGAUUAGCUAGUAGGUGGGGUAACGGCUCACCUAGGCGACGAUCCCUAGCUGGUCUGAGAGGAUGACCAGCCACACUGGAACUGAGACACGGUCCAG